AACCUAUCAACAGCCAAACGCAUUUGCAAAACUUUCGGCUUCGACGAGUCGCCACCUCACCGGCCUCCCCAGUCGCCAACCGGCUGGGUAGACUCGGUCGAUUCCGAGCUCGCUUCUAGGGUUUUCAUCCUCCUCUCUGAAUGGUGUCUUGAUGUCUUCGAUUUCGGCGGUCGAUCGUCUUUCGUUGAUGAAGAACGUGUUUCCGAUUGAGCAAUUGCCUGAGUGGGUUAGGCUUUUGCUUCAGAACGAGCGAGAUUGCCGAGUUUUGGCGGAUUUGUGUCCCUUGUGUAAAGGUAGGAUCAAGGAAGAUUCAAUUAAGGGUUCGUUUCAAGUUCAAUUGACUGCGUUUGAGUAUUUCAUUUUCUGGUUUGCUUAUUACUCUGUAUGCAGAGGAAAUAGUGAGAAUUCUGGUACUGUGAGGGUUCGGAGGUGUCGAAAGUUUCGAUUGGGGAUUGGGCUUCUUCACUUCCAGGAUUAUCGAGCAAUAAGCGUGGUGGGUCAGAGCAGAAAGUUGAGUGUGGUUUGUAUUUACGCCUUCUUUAUUCAUAUCUUCGUGCAUUUGUGCCAAUUUUUGUUAAUACACACCAACCUUAUCGUAGCUCGCUUCUACAUUACAAUUCGAGUUAUGAUAAUUCUGUUGUUGAUCAAGCCAAGUUCAUUGUUAAUACCCUGAAACACUUUUGGUUGAUCGAUAGCGAGUUCUCACCCGUACCUGUAAAUGUAUGCAAAUCAUUCAGAGGGUCAUUUCCUUUUCGUUCGGUUCUUGGCGAGACUCCACCCAUUUCCGGGUUGGGAGAGGUUGUCAAUUUGUUUGUGAAGUAUCUGGAUUUGAGUUCAGUUGCGUUUACUGAAGUGUCUGAUCAAGUUGAAUAUAGUGAGAGUCCUGGUAUCAAGAUCUUCGGAUGGUUUUAAGUCAAGGAAUGCUAUGUCAGUAACUUCUGGUGUGGAUUCUAUUGCUUGUUGGAACUCACGGAUUCAGAGGCCAUUGCACCAGUUCGUAUUGAGGACGAUUUUGUUUUUGCCAUUGCACCAGUUCGUUCGUUUACUGAAUGCAUCUCAGGUGUCCUCUGUUUGGAUUAGUUAUAUGGAACCUUGGACAAUCAGCUUGGAAGAUUUAAGGAGCUAGAGGCAGUUGUUGGUACAUCGGCUAAAAAUACAACAAAGGUGAACCCCCAAUCUUCAGCAUGUGGAGAUGGCAGGCCUUUGUAUUGACCAAUUAUCUGUUCUACAGUUCCUUGGUUAUGCAUUUUGUUUGGAUUCGCACACAAGUUCCUUCACACAGAUCCAGAAGUAAUCGUGCAAAUGGUAUCAAAGGAGAACCAAUAACUCUUAACUGCAAAACCCACCUUUUAGAAAGCAAUUGACAAAGAAAGUAGAGAAGAUGACUCCCAGCUUUUGGACAUGUUCUCACUUAUCACUAUCAUCAGUAUUUCUCCUUUUUUCUCAAUAGAAGGUUAUCAGAAGCUUAAAUGUGUUCAUGUCACAAGAGUGCAUAUAAUUCAUUAAAAAUUGAUGAUAUUUGCACUCUUGUUGAGAAAUUCUAUCCUCAAGAUUUCACAGAGCAAGAAAGAAUUCAUUUGAAAUUUCAGUUGCAACACUUUGAGCUUGAUGUGCCUCAUCAUCCGGAUUUACAAAAUCUCUCCACAAUUUUUGAACUAUGCUGGGGGUUAGUUGAAACGGGAAAGUCAAAAACUUACCAUUUGGUUCAUAGAUUGAUUCUUCUCAUAUUGACACUUCCUGUUUCAACCGCUACUACAGAAAGGGCAUUUUCAGUAAU
This is a non-coding RNA of Camellia sinensis, 1777 nucleotides long. The record is from RefSeq and is a predicted model, not a curated record. NCBI's taxonomy places the organism in Eukaryota, Viridiplantae, Streptophyta, Magnoliopsida, Ericales, Theaceae.